Molecule: long non-coding RNA, 2160 nt
Organism: Carassius auratus (goldfish)
Lineage: Eukaryota; Metazoa; Chordata; Actinopteri; Cypriniformes; Cyprinidae
Exons: 11
Source: RefSeq, a predicted model, not a curated record
GGGCCCACAUCCAAGUCUUUUUGAAAUUCUGGUACCUAGAUAUGGCUUUUUCACAGAGUUUUUUUUUUCUGCCAGGUAAAAAUUGUCGGAUCACUUAGAAACGUAACAACUUGAUCUGGGAGCUAUCAUUCAUGUGUGUUGCUUGAGGUUUGUUUAAUUUCUAGAUAAUUGGCCACUGUUGUUUCUACUCACCCGAACUUUAGGCAAUGCCACUUUACUUCAACCCAGGAGUUUAACUUUAUUUAGAGGCAAAAAUUCACGUGGCAAAGCUGCAGCGACUCUUGUUGUGUGGCAUUCUCAGCUGAUUUCAUGCUUUGAUGAUGGAAAAUUAGGCCCCUGUGCAUUGGCGAAUGAAAAGAGAGGGAGGGAUAGCUCCUGUUAUUGCCUCAGGACACUCCACCCCAACAACAAGAAAACUAGAGCAAAGGAGGCUGAGGCGCUGCCUGCUAAUGCACUCUAAACAAGAUGAUGAGCACUCACAAUCCCCAUGUGGAGCGUCUGCCAGCUUCAAAAAUAUCAGCAGUGUUUUUGUCUCUUUCUCUCUCUCUGCCUACUCAUACAGUGUUGUAAACCACAGUUAUGUGUCUGGCCUUUUAAACAGGCUCCAAACACAUCCCAUGCCUCUGAGGUGAUUUGACUGGCAUGUCAUUUGCAUUCUCUUUGACCAGUGAAGUACUGUGGAGAAGACGGUUAAAGCACCACUCUGAUGGCGUUUGGAGUCUUUGGGUGUGUUUAGCAAAAAGUCAUUUGAAACUUCACCUGUAACCUGUGUGUGUUCAGAGGUUAAAUUACCUCACCUCAAAAUUACCUGAGAGUUCAGUGACACAGAGCAACAGCUGGGAUUGUUCAGAGAGUUGGCUGCGCUGGAAACUUCAUUUCACGGCAUGAACGGCGCUCCAUCAUUGUAACGGAGGAGCUGAUGGGGCUCAGGGGAACUCUGUAGAGAAACUCUACAUGGCCCAGUAUGAGGAGAAGACAGGAAACAGUCUUUCAUUACAGUAUAGAGGCUUGCACAUGUGGGACGACUCUUUCCUCCAGUCUGUAGGCAUCACACCUGUCCACUGGUCUGCUAGGCAAAUCUUCUCCCUUUAAACCACCUUGGGACCAAGAUUACUGAGAUUUUGAAAAGAGUAAAACCGAAUAUUCGAUGUGAAAAGCAUUCCACACCACAGUGGAGCCAAGACCUGAAUGUGAUUUCACAGUGUACCAUCCUGAAACAUCACCGGCUGUACUUUUUUAGACACUUUGUCUGGGAUGUGGAAGCUGAAGCCUUAGUGGCAUCUGCAAGAAAGGAAGACAGUCAGACAGAGAUUUCUUCGCACUGAUGAAUUAGACCAAGAGCAUGUUUUCACAAAAACAUCGAUGGCUCAGAAAAUGAGGAGCAAAAAAGACUUUCUGUAGGACAGCACACAAAACUAGAAUGCCUUUCGGCAAUAUUUUCUGAAGAGUAGCAAACAAAGCCAGUGUGGUCUUUUCGUCCAGGGGACUACUUGAGUUGAGCUCAAAGUGGAACCAUAAAUAUUCAAGUGAGAGGAGGCCAGUGGAGGAAAGCUCUCAGUAAGACACCUGGAAGGCACAAUGGAGCUCAGGAUUGUGUGAUACAACCGCCAUCAGCUUCUCAAGGCAUACAGGGACGUGGUGUUGUUCGUCACACUGAACCUGAGGACACAGAUGAUGCCUCGGAGUCGCACUCUGAUGUUCCCAGUUCCUCCUCUCUCACGCAGCGUUAAAAAGUCUGGAUGGAAGUGACCCUAGAUGCCCGGCGAGAUUCUGCCGCCCCACACACACACACACACACACACACACACAACCUCCACUGUGACUGAAGCACCCCGCUGAGAGCUCAGAUGUCAGAGGUCGGCCUUCACCAUCAUAACCUCUACAGACGUGUCUUCCGGUCUUUCACAGAUCUCCGUCUGACUCACAAAACUCCAUCCUAAAUUACCAUCCAUCCAAACCACCUUAAGUAACUAGAUGUCCAGCCAACAGCUUCUGUAGGGAACAUCUCGAUUCUGACGCUAGAUUCAGCAGUCUUUCGAGUUUCAUGCACACGUUAAUUUGCAGAUCAGAUGUCUUGUUUUAAGGUAAGAGCAAGAAUAAAUACACAAACAUCUUGGUCAAAGAGUCAGGCCUGUUCAAAUCUCACCGCUCUAAUCUAAA